GGAGGGGUGGCCGAGUGGUUAAAGGCAGCAGACUGUAAAUCUGCCGGGUUUCCCUACGCAGGUUCGAAUCCUGCCCCCUCCACCA
RNAcentral lists this transfer RNA (85 nucleotides) under Iodidimonas muriae. RNAcentral describes it as "tRNA-Tyr". It matches the Rfam family "tRNA". Rfam says of the family: Transfer RNA (tRNA) molecules are approximately 80 nucleotides in length. RNAcentral also lists the same sequence under 2 other names. Lineage: Bacteria; Pseudomonadati; Pseudomonadota; Alphaproteobacteria; Iodidimonadales; Iodidimonadaceae. The record is from RNAcentral.